UUAUACAUGCAAGUCGAACGGGAGUUUUUAACUCUAGUGGCGGACGGGUGAGUAACACGUAAGAAUUUGCCUUUAGGAGGGGGACAACAACUGGAAACGGUUGCUAAUACCCCAUAUGCUUUCGAGUAAAACGGUUUUCCGCCUAAAGAGAAGCUUGCGGCUGAUUAGCUUGUUGGUAGGGUAAUGGCCUACCAAGGCGACGAUCAGUAUCUGGUUUGAGAGGACGAUCAGACACACUGGAACUGAGACACGGUCCAGACUCCUACGGGAGGCAGCAGUAGGGAAUUUUCCGCAAUGGGCGAAAGCCUGACGGAGCGAUACCGCGUGAGGGAUGAAUGCCUAUGGGUUGUAAACCUCUUUUUUCAGGGAGGAAUAAAUGACGUGUACCUGAAGAAUAAGCAUCGGCUAACUCCGUGCCAGCAGCCGCGGUAAGACGGAGGAUGCAAGUGUUAUCCGGAAUCACUGGGCGUAAAGCGUCUGUAGGUGGCUUAAUAAGUCAACUGUUAAAUCUUGAAGCUCAACUUCAAAAUCGCAGUCGAAACUAUUAGACUAGAGUAUAGUAGAGGUAAAGGGAAUUUCCAGUGGAGCGGUGAAAUGCGUAGAGAUUGGAAAGAACACCGAUGGCGAAGGCACUUUACUGGGCUAUUACUGACACUCAGAGACGAAAGCUAGGGUAGCAAAUGGGAUUAGAUACCCCAGUAGUCCUAGCCGUAAACAAUGGAUACUAGGUGUUGAACAGAUCGACCUGUGCAGUACCAAAGCUAACGCGUUAAGUAUCCCGCCUGGGAAGUAUGC
Molecule: ribosomal RNA, 795 nt
Filed under: uncultured Skeletonemataceae
Lineage: Eukaryota; Bacillariophyta; Thalassiosirophyceae; Thalassiosirales; Skeletonemataceae
Description: bacterial SSU rRNA
Rfam family: Bacterial small subunit ribosomal RNA
Source: RNAcentral